Bufo bufo (common toad) is the source of this 146-nucleotide long non-coding RNA. RefSeq lists it as uncharacterized. The transcript has 3 exons. The record is from RefSeq and is a predicted model, not a curated record. Lineage: Eukaryota; Metazoa; Chordata; Amphibia; Anura; Bufonidae.
CAGGCUGCUUCACAUCUGCGGCACAGCAUUCCGGCAGGCUGUUGUGGCAGAAAACAUCCCGCUGGAGUUCUCCAGAUCUGGCAUUGCUGGACGCUACUGGAAUGUCUGCCGGCCCCAGUAGCUAUAAUGGGGUCUGGUGGAAAACC